CUCGCUGUGACCGGGAGCUCCGAGUUGGCCACUAGCAAUGGCAUUGUCGGUGAGUUUGGAGCUCUCGCACUCGCCUCCGCUGUGGCACCUUCCCUCCCUCUGCCAUCACCGCCCAGGUAUACCGGAUCCAAGAAAAUCGUGGACAGUAAAGCAACCCAAGAGGAUCUGCAGCCGCAGUGUCAAAACUGAAGAGCUGCAGAGAUUCAGUGGCCGGAACAACCACGGAGGAGGACGAGGGAGCCCUUGAGGCGCGGCACGGUGAGUCCGCGCCUCCCUGUGCCCGACCACAUCCCUCUCCCUCCUUACGCCGGCACGAAUCGCCUCCCUGAUGUUGACCCCAAUCGACAGCUGCAUGACUGCGAGAGCAUUGCUCGUAUGAGAGCCGCCUGCGAGCUCACCGCUCGAGUUCUUGAGUACGCAGGGACACUAGUCAAGCCAUUGGCGACGACUGAUGAGAUUGACAGAGCAGUUCAUCAGAUGAUCAUCGACGCUGGCGCCUACCCUUCUCCCCUAGGCUACGGUGGUUUUCCGAAGAGCGUCUGCACGUCGGUGAACGAGUGCAUCUGCCAUGGAAUCCCUGACUCACGGGUGCUACAGAAUGGAGACAUCAUUAAUAUCGAUGUUACUGUCUACUUGAAUGGAUACCACGGUGACACCUCAAGGACAUACCUAUGUGGAGAAGUUGAUGAAUCUACUAUGCAACUUGUAAAGGUGUAAAUGACCUUGCUGAUCUCUGCUGAUUGUUUCAUGAUACGAUAAUGUUUCAUCCUGUAUCUGAAGAAACUUAUAUAUUGUUCUGUAACUAACAUGCUGAGGGGAAUAUCAGCCUGCAAACACGGUGCUAGUUUUAAGACAAUUGGUCAGAGAAUAAGGUGUUAAUCUCUCUUACCCAUAAAUUUCAUGAUGUCUUUCAGAUGAAUCAAGUACUAAUCAGCAUCGAUCUGAAAGCACUGAAAAAAGGAACACAAAAAUUGAUCAGGAUGCUGUUUUUCCCAGUAAUAAGCAAACAUUUUCCUCUAAAAUUUACUGAGAAAUUUUGUUUCAUGUACUUAUAUAUGUAGUAUAUUAUCUAUCAUACAUUUUUUCUGGUGCACUGAAACUCAAAUAAGCUGAACAGUAAGUGGAAAAACAUAUAAUGCUGAAUUUCAAAUGCCAUGAAUCAUAAAUGCACUUAUCCUGUCAGUGAUAGUCCAGCUUCUACAAAUAAUUUCAUGAUUUCUGAUUUCAGUGAGUACGUGGACGAGUACGGGUACAGCAUCGAUCCCUUUGUCGGACAUGGAAUUGGGAAAAUAUUCCACUCGGAACCGAUCAUUUGGCAUACCUAUGAUUAUGAGCCAGGCUACAUGGUUGCAGGCCAGACAUUCACAAUUGAGCCUACUCUGUCCAUGGGAGGCACCCAGUGCACACUGUGGGACGACGGGUGGACGGCUGUCACGGUGGACAGCAGCCUCACCGCGCAGUUCGAGCACACCAUCUUGGUCACCGGCGACGGCGCGGAGAUCCUCACCAUGCACCCGCGGUGAGAUGACGAGAAAUUCUACGCAACUAGCACCACUUGCAUAUCGUGCUGGUCUAAAAGCAUCCUUUUCUCAGUUUUCAUCUUUCACAAAACAAAGGCAACUCAUGAUCUGUACAGCAUUUUCAAAUAGUAGCAAAAUGCCCAUACUUUGUUACGGGAUUAAAAACAAAAUCUUACUGUAUGCUCUAGAAUAGUACUUCCCGUUCAAUAAUUAUGGGAUUAUUAAUGUGACUGACUGGGGAUUAGUAGAAUCUUUUCAGAAUCA
Molecule: non-coding RNA, 1784 nt
Organism: Oryza sativa Japonica Group (Japanese rice)
Lineage: Eukaryota; Viridiplantae; Streptophyta; Magnoliopsida; Poales; Poaceae
Source: RefSeq, a predicted model, not a curated record